RNAcentral lists this transfer RNA (92 nucleotides) under compost metagenome. RNAcentral's name for it is "tRNA-Arg". The record is from RNAcentral.
GCAUGCGGUGAAGGACGGCCCGGCCAACCGCAGCUUCGGCCUGCAGGUGGCAGCGCUGGCGGGCUUGCCACGUUCCACCGUGGCGCAGGCGC